Molecule: ribosomal RNA, 254 nt
Filed under: uncultured bacterium
Lineage: Bacteria
Description: partial 16S ribosomal RNA
Rfam family: Bacterial small subunit ribosomal RNA
Source: RNAcentral
UACAGAGGGGGCAAGCGUUGUUCGGAAUUACUGGGCGUAAAGGGCGCGUAGGCGGUCAGCACAAGUCAGUUGUGAAAUCUCCGGGCUUAACUCGGAAAGGUCAACUGAUACUGUGCGACUAGAGUGCGGAGGGGGCAACUGGAAUUCUUGGUGUAGCGGUGAAAUGCGUAGAUAUCAAGAGGAACACCUGCGGCGAAGGCGGGUUGCUGGGCCGACACUGACGCUGAGGCGCGAAAGCCAGGGGAGCGAACGGG